Molecule: long non-coding RNA, 22289 nt
Filed under: Solanum tuberosum (potato)
Lineage: Eukaryota; Viridiplantae; Streptophyta; Magnoliopsida; Solanales; Solanaceae
Description: long non-coding RNA (STUB_LNC006973)
Source: RNAcentral
CGUCUCAUUAUUUCUACUUGUUUCUGCAAAGUGAGGAAGCUGGCAAUCUCAGUGUAAUUUAACUGACAACUAUGUCUGGUUUUUGCAGAUGAUGAGGAAGAAUAUGAGGAAGCUGGCGGUGGUAACCGACUUUUGGGAUUUAUGUUUGGUAAUGUUGACUACUCUGGUGAUCUCGAUGUUGACUACCUUGACGAGGUGAUUUGCUCCUUUCUCCCUAUGUAAUUUGACUCUUAUAUAAUAUGCUGUGAGACCCCAAAUUAAUAUGUUAGUAUUGGUACUAAAGUGUCUCCAAGUAGCAGUGGAGCUUAACCGGAUAAUUAUUUGCUGGGAUUUCAGCAUAAGCAACUCCAUUAUACCUUUACAUGGGCCAUGUUUUCUAUUUUAAUGUGGAAAGUGGUCAGCCUGAGGUUGGGCAUUGAUUGAGGGUGAUGAAGUGUUCAAGCUCCCGUUCACUUAUUUUAGUUGUCGCUAGGAGCAAAACCUAAGGAAUACUCGCUUGAAAUCCAGUACAAAAUUUUGGGAGGACCAUGAAGGUUAACAGUUUUUCCCAAGGGAAAACCUUUUUCUAAUUAAAAGCACACACUCCUGCUUCCAAAAUAUUUUGUGCCUAUGCUGCCUGCCCCAAAAUUAAGUUGCAAAUUGUAUAGGGUCAAAUGUUUUUGUGAAGAAAAACGUAGUGUGAAUUAAGUUGGAAAUUGUAUAGGGUCAAAUGCCCCAAUGGUGCAGUGUGAGAGGUUGACUGUGGUGAGGCUGAUGAGAGGUAGAGGUAGGCAAAGGAAGUAUUGGGGAUAGGUGAUUCGAUUGGACAUGACACACCUGCAGCUUACCGAGGAUACUGACCCUAGUUAGGAGGUUAUGGAGGUCGAGGAUUAGGGUAGAAGAUUAGUAUGUAGUUGGGCGUUGUUUAGCUUCUUUAUCAGUGUUAUAAUUAUAACUAUUAUGAUUAUUAUUACUCUCCUACUGGAUCAUUCUUUUUUAUUAUUACAUGUUAUUUCAUUUGCUUCAGUUAUUGUAAUACUAAUGUUGGUACUGUUCUUCUCUCCAUUAUUUCCUUUUAGAACCCGCUUUGAUAUGCUAUGAUGUGAUUUACUUGAGCCGAGGGUCUAUCGUAAACAACCUGUCUACCUUUACAAGGUAGGGGUAAGGUCUGUGUACACACCACCCUUUUCAGACCCCACUAGUGGGUUUACUCUGGGUAUGUUGUAAAAGAAUGCAAUCAAACAUGGUAUUACUUAUGCAAGAAGUUAUACAUGGAUAACUUACCUCCUAACCAACUACCAAACGACCCCUAAGUGUAGUAAUUCUUUCAAUAAGAACAGUUGCAACAAGAGCCAGAUGUUUCCUGUAGCUAAUAUCUUAACAAUCUCAUCCAAGGGAGGAUGCUAGCAGGGUUUAUCACCUAUUUGUGGAAGUAUCGUUCAUUUCAUUUUCAUGCUCCACAAUUUUACUUUCAGAUCUCGCAUGUUGUGUUGUUUGAGCUUCUCGUGGUGUCAUCUUUGCUUAUCAAGAGGUCAAAAUCUUAUGGAAAUUAUGUUUUUCAGGAUGCCAAGGAGCAUCUUGCUGCUUUAGCUGACAAGCUUGGUCCGUCUCUGACAGAGAUAGAUGUAUGUAACAGAACUCUUUUGUCUCUAUAAUUUGGAAUUAUAUCUUCUGAGAAGUGUAGUCCCAAUCUUUUAUCACUAUGAUUUUAUUUGGUAUUGUAUUUUGGAUGAGGUACUACAAAUAUGAAUGAUUGUUACCCAAUUUCUACCUGAUUAGGUUUGGUGCUAAUAAUUUCUCCAUGUCUGUUUCCCUUGGAUGUUCAGUUGUCAGUGAAGUCCCCACAAGAAUCUGCAGAUGCUGCUGAACAAGGUACAUGUUUUUCCAUGAAUGCCCUCUCAUGCAGUUUCUUUGAUACUUUCGUUGACAAUUCUUUUGUCCUUUUCUUUCGUCCUAUAAAAGUUCUCUUUUAUCACAAGUGAAAGCAUUCUUAAUUAGACAUUGUAAGCAUAGGUUUGAACCUGUAAUACAUUAUAGAAAAAGCCAGCAACAAUUUACGUGUUUGACAUUCUGAUAAUUCAUAUAACUGCAGUGAAUUGGGAAAUACUAGAAAUUAUUACUAAGUUGAUAUUCAUGGUUAGGCUAGAUGCUGAUAUUUGAAAUAGUUCCACCAAAUGGAGCUCCUAAGCAAUACUAACCUGCAGCUGACAUUCUUUUGUUUAACAGACUCUUUUUAUGUCUUUUGCAUGCCAGAAACUCUUACGUUUCUGCAUUUCUUCUUUGUGUUAUUAUAUCUGGACCUUGGUGUGUUAAAGCUCCAGUGGGCUUAUAGUUCUUUAUUCUGUUUUCUAAAUUAUUAUUCUUACAUUAAACACAACACAUGGUUCAGUGUUUCAUAGAGCUUACUCUGGGUUUUCAUCAUCAUUCUGAAGCCAUUAGAUUCAGUUCGACCCAUCUUUUCUUUCAGAAGUCAUUUCUCAUUACUACUCUUCCCUCUGCUUCAUUGAACACACAGAUUAUGAUGAGAAGGCUGAAGACGCUGUAGAUUAUGAGGACAUUGAUGAGCAAUAUGAAGGACCCGAGGUACAAACUGUUACUGAAGAGGACCUAUUAUUGCCGAAGAGGGAUUAUUUUUCAACAGAAAUCUCUCUAACUACUUUGGAGAAUCGUGAUUCUGUUUUUGAUGAUGAAAACUAUGAUGAGGAUGAUAAUGAAGAGAAGGAACAGGAGGUGGUAGAGAACACUGCUGAAGUUCAAUCUACUCCUGUAAAAGGUUAGUUUAAAAGCAUUGUUUUCUUGGGUACUGGUGUUUCGUAAAUGCUUUUAUAUUGUUACUCAGAAGUUUUGAUGACUGUCUACAAUCUUUAGAGUGUAACUUUACCUUUUGAUAUUUUAAUCUCUUCACUGAUUGCAACUACUAGAUUUAAAGGGCUGUUCCUCGUGUUAGUUUGUUACAAACCUCAGUUCUAUUACAGAAAGUGCUGCUCACCUAAAAUGAACUUGAAAGCCGACAUAACUCAGAGUCCCAUCUGUAAGGGGGCAGCAGAAAAUAAAACGAGAAUUGUGAAAGCAAGAUAUUAUCCUAGAACACAAGAUAAAAAAAAGUUGAUCCUUGAGAUAAGUCUUUGUGGUAGGUAUUUGUCAAACUCUUUUUCUGUGUCAAAUUUCAGUUUUCUGCUAGCAAUUUUUGGUGAACUAAAAUUGUUUGCAGCAGCUGUGAACAAGUCCAUGAGACAAAAUACUUUUUUUUUUGGUGGUGGGGGGGUCUUAUGAGGGAAAGAUCAUGGGGGCGUUAGAUGCCUUGACGCUAUGGCAGGGCUCUGAAUGAGCAGAUGGAUUUUGCAGCGGGAAGAGGCAGGGAGCUGCGGGUAGGAUGGACCGAAUGUGAAUAACAAAAGACAUGUUGCGUACUUUUUAUUUUGUUUUGCUUCAGCUUGUUUAUUUAGGGAAAAGGGACAAACUGCUCUUCAAACUGGUAUCACAUGGAACUAGUCGAGGCGAGCACAAGCUGGUCUGGACACCAUGUUUUUUUUUAACAAUCGCUCUCUGUUUGAAUUUGGUCCUGAAUCUGCCCUUAUUGUUGAAGUACUUGCUCAGGUUUUUGAGAAGGAAUACUUGCUCAGAUUUGCCUCUCAGAACUAACGAAAUUCACUUUUUCUUUUUCAAUCAUCUUUUUUUAUUUUCGGACCAAAUGUGUAUUUAACUUCUGUUUUCUAAAACUACCGGUGGAAAACAAACCAAAAAAAAGAAAAAAGAAAAAAGAAAAAAGGAGAUGCAACUUUUUUUCUUCCGAAAUAUACAUCAAAAGUAGAGCACUUUGUGUUUUGUGGUGGAUUAGUAUCUGUUAGCUUUGUAUUCCAUCUCAAAAAUUUCUGGACAACACUAUCAAAGAAUUCUGCUCCUGACUGUAUCCUUCCAUUGAAGAAAAAAACAGAUGUUUAGAUAUGAAAAUUUGAUUGCUUUCCAAGAUCUGCUGAGAUAUGAGGAAUUAAUUAAGGAUAGGGAGAUUACUGUCGGAGGAAAAGGAAUAAAUCAUGGAGUUACAUUAUUUCAGUUAAAUAUAUCUCUUUGCAUCUUCACGUUAGACCUAUUUGUCAUGUUCUGUUUGUAGGAGAGUACAACAAUGAAGCUGAAGUCAUUUUUCAUGGGAAUAAGGUUCCAGAAGAAGUUAUAUCCACAGAUGCUCUCGAAUCUAGUGAAGAUCUUCAAGAGGUUUGCCCUCUACAAAUUAAAAAGAAAAACUACUUAUCUUUUUGUGUUCUUUUUAUUCUGACUUGUAGCAUGAAGUGCAUGUCAUCUCUUUCUUUCUCACUUCUUGUGAAAUAGGUCAUCAAACAAUUGAUAUCUUGCGUCACUUUCUAUUUAUGAGCAAUCAAUGGCUUCUUGAGAUUUUCCUGAAAUAGCUAUUUGAGUAGUUCAUAAUCUUCCAUGACAAUAAUUUCUUUUAAUGCUUGAAGAUUGAUGAUGCUAGAUAAUGCAUUUUAUAAAUACCUUUGAUAUAUGUAUUUUUAAUGUUAGUUAAAAUCCUAUAAUUUCUGGGGGACCUCUCUUAGUAAUAUACAAAACUUUUAGUUUUACUUCUGUUUUUCUUUUCUUCACAGUUUAUCACUAUUGGGAAGUUGACAAAUAUUAAAGCACUCUCUUUUUUCUUUUCUUCCUGUCUAUUCCGCUGUAGAUCUGCGUUUAUUUGAAAGGAGUUCUGUUAAGUGUUCGAAAUAUUGUUCUCCUCUAUUAUGUACUUCUACUCUAUGCUUGGCAUAAGCUAACAACUGCAGAUAAGUUGUCUUUAUGGAGACUAUAAUUGUCUUAUUCUGUUGUCUACUUUAGAAUAACUCUUGUUUUCUAAACAGUGCUGCUUUUUAUGCUGGUUGUCAGGAAGAACCUCUUGCUUUGGAAGAGCCAGUUGAAAGUCAAAGCUCUCUGCCUCUACCUGUUCUUUGUGUCGAAGAUGGGGUGGCAAUUCUGAAGUUCUCUGAAAUUUUUGCCCUUCAUAAACCUCGGAAGAAAGCAGAGAAGAGGGAGCGACGUUGCUCUGUUCCCAAAGGUACCUUUUGCUAAUAAGAAAAAUCUCUUUCUUCAGUUCUGUUUGGUAGUAUUAGUACAGUUGAUGAGCCUUUCUGUAGCACAUUCUUGUAUAAACAGACAAAUACAAGGCCAUGGACACACUGGAUAUUGUUGAAGAAGAUGAAGUUAAAUUACUGAGAGGGUCCUAUGAAGAGUUUCCUUGGUUGAGGAUGACCCAUGUACAUCAUGAUAGUGCUUUAACGUUGCUGGAUAAUGAACCAGGAACAGUUCAAGGGACUGAUGACUUAAAGCCAAAAAUCGAGAAAAAGGAUUCUUGUUGUAGUGCUGAACCAAUGAAAGAAAAUCUAUCAAUGGAUCUUUCUGCUGAUUGGAGCUCACCCAUUUGUCCUGAGUUCUAUCCUCUUGACCAGCAAGACUGGGAGGAUAGAAUUAUUUGGGAUAAUUCUCCUCCAUUGAGUGAUAAUACUGCUGAGAGUUGUGAGAUUUCUGAACCUGAUUAUGAAGCAUUGACUGAUAAACAACUGGAUGUGGAGGCCGAGUCUCAAAGUUUACAGUCAGAAAAAGAAAUUGAACCCCAUGAAAAAGGUCAUAGCUCCUUUUUUUCUUGCAGUGUUUCUGUGGAGCCUUUUGGUUCAAAACAACCUUCAGGACACCUGGAUAUUUCAUUAUCAGAAGGAAGAUAUCACCCUCAGCUUUUGAGACUAGAGUCUCGCUUGAAUGCAGAUAGGCAAAGGAGCACAGAUACUCCGAAGGAUGAAGACACUGAUGAAAUCCUUAGCAGUGAUGCCUUAAGGCGAUUUAGCAAGCUUACAUUACAAAAUAGAGAUAUACUGGAGGAAUCUUGGGUGGACAACAUUAUUUGGGAACCAGAUCAACCCUUUCCGAAGCCAAAGCUCAUAUAUGAUCUUCAAGACGAACAAAUGCUUUUUGAAGUUCUGGAUAACAGGGACGGCCAACAGCUUAUGCUUCAUGCUGGAGCAAUGAUCACAACUGGUUUAGUGAAGCCCAGUAGUGGUGAUUCUGCCGAGUUAUAUGGCCUCAGUGGUUUAUCCGGGCGUUUCAAUAUUGCCAAUGACAAAUAUUAUUUGAACAGAAAGUCAACUCAGCAACUAAAAUCACAUUCAAAGAAACGCACUGCACAUGGUCUCAAAGUUCUGCACUCAAUACCAGCUCUUAAGCUGCAGACAAUGAAGGCUAAGCUAAGCAAGUAAGUCUUGUGUACUUCAUUUGACACUCUUAUACAAAUGGUUAAUUCUUCUCUAAUUUUUUUCUUUUUUGAUAUAGUAAUAACUUCAUUGAUGUGGCGGGAAAAAUUCCGGUAUUCAAAUGAUAGAAAAAUAUAGUUCUCUACAAGUAACACCCUAUCAUCUAUACCCCAUGGUGCACUAAACGUUUAUUCGGAACAAAAACAUGAAAAACAUGACCACAUCUGAAUGGCGGGAGUUCACACCCUUCGAAAGCUGUCUUGCUCUUUUCUUUUCGAAUUAUCUAUAGGUGCCAAAAGAGCAACACACCACUCCAUUUGCUUUGUCUGAUGGCGCAACCGAAAAUCACAUCUUAGCUAUCAGUGAUAUUGACCACUGUAAUUUGCACAAAUUCAGCAGUGUCCACCAUAACUGUCUUACGACUUGGCAAUGCAACUAUAGAUAUUCCAUGUCCCUUCCAAAUAUUUACAUAUUUAAGCAACGGACUUGUGUGAUCUUCUUUCUCUACAAGUUUUCUGCUGUGAGAUUAGCCUCCUUUGCUGCAGACAAGUGAACAAUCAUACUUUACUUGAAACAUUGGGUGUCUUACCGAUGCAUAUGGGCAUUCUACUUCCUCUCCCUUUAGUAAAUGAUGAUUGACUGACCAAGAAGAUUCCACUUACCUUUCUUUUUCAUUUCCAAGAAGAUUUCUGUGAUGUCAUACUUAUAGAGUAGGGGUGAUAAAUACUGCCCAAACUCAUUUGACCCGCCCAACCCGUCCAUAAUCAGUUGGGCAUGGGCUAUGUUUAGGCAGGACCCAUCUUAACCCAUGACAAAAGCUAGCCCAAAGUUAACCCAUUAAACAACCCAAACUCAACCCAUCACUUUUCAGGCUUAUUUGCGUGUUUUAUAGCCAUAAGUGACUGCUUUUGCAGUUCAAUGAACAUCUUUGGACUGUAUUUACUUAUCAGGACUUAAGCAACCCAGGGAAAAAACAGUUUUUUAUUGCAUCAGUCUCUAUGGACUUAGGGAUUAGCAUCAUAAGUGCCAUACUGCCAUCAGUGUUUUGUUAGACUACCUAAUGACCUCUAUUAACAAGAUUCGGAGGUGUGUUUUCUUGGAUUUAUCAUAUGUAUUGGUUGAUUGCUUCGUUUUUAAUGUUUGUUGAUGUGAUUUAUUCCUCUUUGCAGUAAAGACAUUGCAAAUUUUCAUCGGCCAAGAGCUUUAUGGCAUCCCCAUGACAAUGAGGUGGUACUUAAGGAACAGAGAAAGUUGCCUACACAAGGGCCAAUGAAAAUCAUAUUGAAAAGCUUGGGUGGCAAAGGAAGUAAACUUCAUGUGGCAGCAGAGGAGACCAUUUCUUCCCUUAAGUCAAAGGCAUCCAAGAAGCUUGGUUUGUAAUUUUCCCUAUCCUUUUAGUUCCUAAACUUCACUUAUAUUAAAUCUAUUUAGUACCUUCAUAUCCCAGCUAUUACUAACUUUCACCAUGUUAUUUGUCUAUAGAUUUCAAACUGUCUGAGCCAGUGAAGAUAAUUUACUGUGGGAAGGAGCUUGAAGAUGAUAAAUCUCUUUCUGCCCAAAAUGUGCCACCAAACUCUGUGCUGCAUCUUGUUCGUACCAGGAUACAUUUGUUGCCUAGGGCACAAAAGCUUCCUGGUGAGAACAAGUCCCUGCGUCCUCCUGGUGCAUUUAAAAAAAAAUCUGAUCUUUCCGCAAAAGAUGGCCAUGUUUUCCUAAUGGAGUAAGUAAACCCAAAGAUUUAUUGGGUAUUUUCUAUAGAUAUUUUGAUGGCCUUUCUUCUUUGAUUAGUUCACGCUCAAUAUGGAUAGAUACCCUAUACCUGUUAAAUUGCAAGUAGUUUUUCUCUUCUGGUGGAUGCUCCAUCUUUUUGUGGUUUUGUGUCGCCUUGUGGCAUUCACUUGACCAUUGGCUUGUAGAUACCUGGGGCACACUCAUCUUGAAACAUAUUUGUGACAAGGAUAGCGACACAAUGACAGGUUGUUUACACAACCAUCUGUAUGUCAAAAAUGUUGAAAUUGCUACCCCUAGGGUAAUCUGUUGUGCUGAUUGUUGGUUGUUAAGGGACUAGUCUAAAUGAUUCACACUUAUAACUCUUUACCCACUAAUCUUAUAGAUGUAUAUAUGCUUCUCCAGGUUAUUCCCAGACUUAGGUUUGCUUUGGUGAAACCUGAAUCUUAAUGUGAGCAUGAUUGUUUAAGUUUAUCAUUGAAGACAUAAGAAGUAGAGUUUCAACAAAAGAGUGGUUUAUAGACAGAAAGUUGAGGCUGUGAGACACGACCAGUUGCAUGGCUUGUGAAUGCUACAGAUAUCCUCUCCCAUUUUCUUUCGAUAAACUAUAGUUUUUGCUUUAUUUUCAGUGUACGGACUUUAAGAGUUGUGGUACCUCAUUGUCCAUCAUUACUCUGUUUCCCUAAAAUUGGAUAGCUGUCAGUCAUGUGAAAACAUGCCAUGAAAUUUCAAUAGCUAUUACAGGGAUGACCCGUUUAUACAAAGAAACAUUAAAACCACAGAGUAGCAGUCCUAUUUUGAACCUUUCAAAGCAGAUAAAUGAGGAGAAAAACGAGCCUCGAUGGCCUGUACAAACACUCACACAUCUCGUAUCGUUAUAGAUGGUCCGGGUAUCUCGAAGAAGAUGUUUUGAGCAGGUGCCUAGUAGGAAAUUUCGAUGAUGCCAAAGAGUUUACUAUUCUCUCAGAAUUUGUAUCUGGACCAUCAAUAACUGGAACACGAUACUAGGGAUGUAAAUGUAUGAGAUGCACGAAUCAAAAUUCCUCUUUGAAUUUCCUUCCAGGAAAAUGGCAGAACACAUCAAGAUGGGAGAAUGGAGGUAGACAAAUAACUUGUUGAGUCUUCAAUGGUAAUCGCUGGAAGCUGGGUGUCUUCCUGCAACUGUGAAACUGGGUGGAGUUUGGGUAAGAAUAUUGGGAAUAGCUUCAGUUAUAUGGGCUCAAAAAAUUUCCAAAUCUAUUGAAGAUAAAUGUGGUGGCUGGUUUGAGACAGAUGAGGAGACAACCUUGAGAAAUCAUCUAAAAUGGGCUCGGAUCAAAGUGAAGGGACCUUCUGAUCAAAUUUCGAAACAGAAGUGGAGUAAAUGGAGUAAUUUUCACCCUCCCCAUACCACACUUGUAGGACCUCACUGGGUAUGUAGAUGUUGUAGUGUGGAAAUCAAUAAGAUCUUAGUGGUCAAUUUUUAUCAACAAUACUAGCAUCAAGGUUGGUGAUGGAGCAAAGAAAUCUUUCUGGAGUUAUGAUUGGAUUGGCAAUGGAUCCCUUAAAGAAAUGUUUCCAGAUAUUUAUAAUUUGGUGCAACAACCUCAAGCAUCUGUUGCUGAGGUUUGCAGUCUAGAAGGUUGAAAUUUGAACUUCAGAAGAUAUCUUAAUGAUUGGGAGGUUGUUAAAAUGAUUGACUUCUACAGACUCUUGGAUGGUUUUAAAGGAAAUGUGAAGAAAGUGGGCAAAUUGAUUUGGAAAGGGGGCAGCAAAGGUAUCUUCACUGUGAAAUCAGCAUAUGGUAUACUGAAGAAGUCUGAACAACAACAUUUUGGGACAUGGAACUGGAAGCACAUUUUGAAGGUGAACAUACCACUCAAAGUGGCAUGUUUCUGUUGGCUUGUAAGGAGGCUGUGCUAACACAUGAUAUGCUGAUUAAGGGAGGGAUGCAAUUGUGUUCUAGAUGUUUUCUAUGUGGGAAAGAAAUGAAACAAAUAGCCAUCUAUUUAUCCAUUGCAAAGUUACCAGUACUUUGUGACAGGUUUUCCUGGUAUGAAAGGACUUAGAUGGAUAAUGCCUAGGAAAACUGCUGAGUUGUUAGCAUGCUCGAAUGACCCAGGCAAUUUUGAGAGGCAGAAGAGAUGACGGAGAAUUAUUUCUGCAGGCAUCUGGUGGACAACAUGGAGAGAAUAGAAUGCAAGUUGUUUUGAAGAUGUAGGCAUGUAGCUAACACAGAACAGAAGAUUAAAAUGAAUUACCCUUCGGAGUGGCCCAGUGGUUUGGGCUUGGGACUUCUAUGUUGGAGGUCUCAAGUUCGAAACCCCUUGCCAGCGAAAGCAAGGGGUUUGCCUUCGGGGUCGAGCUCGUCGCACCAGGCUUGCCUAGUGCGGGUUACCUCUCCUAUGUGGUUUGCGAGCUAUUGCAUAGGAGCGGGGGUUUUACCCUGUGCGCACCCAAAUGGUAGCGGCUGCGGGUUUCCCUUGUCAUCAAAAAAAAAAAUUAAAAAAAAUGAAUUUUAUGUUUUAAUUUCAUUUUGGUGUAGAAAGGCCCUAGUAGAAAAUGUAGAUUCUGUAGUUGACAUUAUUGGGUCAUUGUAACUAGUUCAGGAAUUGGCCUUUUGUUUUUUGGAGGUUCCUGUAACUAUGUUUCUCUUAACACAGUCUGAGGGAUACUCUUUUGAUAAUAUAAAAUAUGUUACCUUCAUAAAAAGAAGAAGAGAAUAACAGUGGGUAAUGAGUUUGUUGUGAGAAAUUAAUAAUAUACAGGUGUCAUUGCUUUGGCAGGACGGUAAUAAGUUUGUUGUGAGAAAUUAAUAUUAUACAGGUGCCAUUGCUAUGGGCCUAUGGCAGGAGUUCUAAUAGAGGCACUAUCAUUGUAGUGACACCGUGGACCAAUGUAAUAACAAUUAUGCUGGUAUUUGAUUAGAGAGGAUGGUCAUAUUGUGGAUAUUGAAUGCAAGAUUGAUUGAUUUUUCUGGGGCCGUAGUUUCAUUCUUGUGGUAAAAGUGCAACACACGAUGUGUUGAAUAGGCGCAUAUCACUAGUUCGAACCUUGUCGUAGAAAAGGCUUGGUAUUUAAGUAAAGUGUAGAGGGACUGACCCAUCAUCCGCCAAGUUUAGAACUGAGCACUACCUGGUCCAUGGGGAUUUCUCGUUUAUUAAAUAGAAGUAACUGGUUGUCUGAUUAUCAUCAUCAUCUAAAUGUAGGAAUUUUAAUUUUUACCAUGAUAAGGAUGAUCUGAUGAGACACUCAUUUUUGUACUGAUAAACAUCCAGCACUCUCUAGGUGCUGUGAUAGAUGAAUAAUAUGCCUUUGCUUAUAAAAAGAAAAGUGAUCUAUGUCAAAGUUGAGUAGGUCUGUUGCAUUGAUUAAGUGGAGAUUCGUGUCGCACAUAACUAGUUUAUUGGUAUGAAUUUUUUGAAGUGCUUUUUCUUGUUUCUUGUUGUAAUGGAAAUUCAAAAUAUCCGAGUAGGAUACUAAAGAAUUUUACUUUCUGAGAUGUAACUGCAGCCAAUUGUUUUCCCUGUGAAUUGUGCAAAUAGCAUCUUAAAUGCUAUUUGUGAUCAAAAUUGCCCACGCACCAUAUGCUAAGCACUGGGCGUGAGGUGGGGUGUUAAUGACAAAAGUUCCACAUUGGUGGUUAGUGAUAUGAUUGGAUUCCUUAUAAGGCUUGGGCAAUCCUCCUCCCUUUGAGCUAGCUUUUGAGGUGUGAGUUAGGCCCAAUACCUAAUUUAACAAUAUAGAGGUGGAUAUAUGAAGCAUUAAAAGAUCCUUUUUCUUUCAUCUAUAUAUAUAUUUAUUUUUUUUGAGAAGGUAACAACUUGUAUUCUAUUUCCACAAAAACAGAAAACUUGCCACGACAAGUUACAGGUUUCCUAAUUACAAUUGAGGAGGAGUAUCUAGAAGAUCUUCAACCCUUUUAACAAAAAUUUACAAUGAUCCUAAGACAUCCAUACUUGAUUCUAGAUCUUCCCUAUACUCCUGUUUAACACCAAAAAUGAAACAAAACUAAGCACUUCAUCUUCAUCUUCUGGAUAUUGUUGCUCUUGUUCAUCAUCUAUAUUUUUGGUGCCAAGGUGUACGACCCCCUUUUGUAUAGCAGUUGGAUAGAUUUGACAGAUGAGCACUCCAUAAAAACAUCCAUACAUAUUUUUGUGACCACCUUGGUGUUAUUGAUGAAUAAAAUUCUUUUUUGUUUCAAUCUAAAUUUUAGGUGUGAGUAGAUCCCUUUUUGUAUAACAAUUGGAUAGAUUUUAUAAUGUAGCACUCUAUGCAAUCACAUGGUACAUAUUUUCGUCACCACCUUGUUGUGUUUCUAAUGAAACCUUUUGAUUUAAAAUAUUGAAAAAGAAUUUCAUCACUUCUUUUCAAGUAUAUACAACUUUAUGAUGUUUUUCCUUAGUCUGCUGCUCAACACUUUUGUCUGCUCUUCUACUUGCAGAUACUGUGAGGAGAGACCUUUGCUCCUUGGAAAUGUUGGAAUGGGUGCAAGAUUGUGUACUUACUACCAAAAAUUAUCUCCAAAUGAUCAACAAGGCACCUUGAUGCGCAAUGGAAAUACUGGAUUGGGGAGUGUACUCACACUUGAUCAUUCUGAUAAAUCCCCCUUCCUUGGGGAUAUAAAACCUGGUUGCAGCCAGUCAUCUCUUGAAACAAAUAUGUAUAGGGCACCGAUUUUUCAGCAGAAGGUCUCAUCAACUGACUAUUUGUUGGUUCGCUCAACAAAGGGUAAGCUGUCCAUAAGGCGGAUAGACAGGAUUGAUGUUGUAGGGCAACAGGUUAUCUACUAUCCUUAACUUGGCUCAUCGGAGUACUUACUUGAUCACUCUAUGCAAAUUUUAUGUUAUCAUUUUCUGAUGAACUUUUUGCUAAAAUAUUGAUUGUUGUAGUAGACUUUAUUGAACCAUGGUAUCAUGAAAAUUUCUGGGUUCAUGUUAUUAUGUUUUUGCCAGUAUGGAACCUAAAGCAAUGUGCUGUUGCAUAAUAAGGUUGAGUUUUGAAAUUCGGAAGGCAUAUGAAUUGGUCCUCCUGUGAUGGGGAUGCCUUUGAUUUUCUCAUAUUUUUGCAUUGCCCACAUGCAUUCUUCUUGAAGCGUUCAACUUGUUUUGCUAGAUCUGGUUAGAAGUUCUCUUGAUGUUAAGUUGCCUGAAUUUUUUCAUUAGUGCGAUUGAAAACUACCUUUGAUGACCAGUUGCAUAUUCAAAAUACACACCAUUACUAUAUCUUUUAAUGAUCAUGCGAGAUGCGGGACCUGAGUGUCAGGUCAUGCCAAUGAGUUGAUGCUGAUCCAGGCCCUUGAUGGUGGAGUAUCAGAUUGUAGUUUGACAGAUCUGAAAUAAAUAAGCUAAAAUUGGAUGAUCCGGAAUUCGUGAAGGAAAAGGAAUCUGAAGCUACAUAUUUAUUGAACUCAUGUGCUUUUUUUUUUUUUUAUUCCUGGGGGAAAGUAGAGUUUGCUUUUCAUUAGUUGUGGUAACUACCUUUAUCUUUGGAUUUUUCUACUUUUUGGUCAUGGAGGUAUUGGCAUGACAUUCUCUCUAUAAACUCAAUUAACUUUCAACUCAAGUUGCCAAAUUUGCAAGUGUUUGAGGACAAUUCACUUAGUCCUCUAGAUUUUGCGAUCCUAUUCGAUAUUGGAUUUUUCUUUGUGCAGUAUGCUAAUACAUGCUUCUGUAACGUGCAAGCAUACUAUAGCUAUGUCGAUGUUUAUACCUGAAGAGGAUAACCAUGUUUCUUUAAUGUGCAAGCAUUCUAUAUCUAUGUCGAAAUCUUAUGCUUGAAGAGGAUGAUUAAUAUGAAUAUUUUAUGACUAAUCUGUUCGUUAUUGCUUCUGUAUGAAUAUGUGGUGGAUCUAUUUCCUUGUUUAAUCUGCCUUUCCCUGUUAUCUUUGAAGGAGCCUCACAUGGAGGUAAUCUCUCCUGGAUCAAAAGGUGUUCAGACCUACAUAAUGAACAGACUAUUGGUGUAUAUGUAUCGUGAAUUUCGAGCUAUUGAAAAGCGCGGUUCCCGUCCUUUCAUCCGCGCAGAUGAGCUGUCCGCACAGUUCCCUAGUUUGUCAGAGGCCUUUCUUAGGAAAAGACUCAAGCAUUGUGCUGAUUUGCAGGUACUUUUGUGAAACAUCAUUCAAUUCCUGGGUAAAUUCUUUAGUACAGGCAUUAGAGGGAAAUAAUUUAUUAAAACUCGUCUUUGUGGCACUUCGUGUGCUCCUUCCCCUUACGUGUCUGGUAAGUAACUUGGGUGCUGACAUGAUGCAGAGAAGAUCAAAUGGACAGUUCCAAUGGGUUAUGAGGUUCAAUUUUCGGAUACCAUCCGAGGAGGAAUUGAGGAGGCUGGUUUCACCGGAAAGUGUGAGUUCUUUCAAAAGAUCCUUGUUUUAAAUUUCCCUCUCAUCUCCUCCUCCACCCCCCUGAAAAGAUCUCCCUCUCUCCAGUUUAAAAAAUAUUCUUUAAUUGAUGCAUUAAGAGAUGUCGUGCACUUGUCAAAAUAACUUGGGUACAAAUAACACUUUCUUAAAGCUUCAUCUUUCGAUUAUGAUGGAGUUUUCCACUUUAGCACAUUUGGUAUUGGGAGGAGGCUUAAUCUUCAAAUGCGCAUUCAAAUUCAGACGUCUUCAUCUGUAUUAUAUAGUUUCUUUUGAUGAAGUAAUGUUUCAAGGAGAUGCAAAGUCACUGGUGGCUAGUUACCAAAGAACAAAAGAGUAGGAGAACAUUGUUUACCCCAAAUACAAUGUCUCAAUCAAGAACUAAAGUGCUAAUAAAAUCCAAAAGCUGUACUAAAUUAGUUAUUGGGAACAAGAGUGUCCAACAAAAGAGAUCUAAACAUUUAGCUUAAGAGAAUGAUUUGGAGUUGAAAUGCCAUCAAAACACCUUCUGUUUUUCUCUUUCCAAAGGCUCCAAAAAAUAGCAGCAGGCAUCAUCAACCAGGUCUUCUUGAUGGUCUUAUCAACUUUCCAAUGACUCCAACUCACAUAUGCCUCUCUCAGAUUCUGAGGCAUUACCCAAUUUAAUCCAAAAAUGCUGAAAAACAAGCUCCAAAGGCCAAAAGCUUCUGGACAAUGCAGGAAAGUUGGUUGACUGUUUCCUUUUGACAAUUGCAAAGAUGACAUCUGUUAACCAGUUGUGAUAUCCUUUCCUGUUUAGGUUAUCUAUAGUACGGCUGGCAUUAAUGAGGGCUAACCAACUGAAGCACAUGAUCUUAAUAGGUAGUGUCCUCCAAAUCAAUUUCCAGGGCCAUGAGUCAAUAACCUGAUCUUGGUUUCCAAGCUGUCUAUAGCAUUCUUUAACAGAAUUAUACUAAAAGCAUGAAGGAACUUAGAAAUGUUGAUUGAACUUUUUGCCCUUCAAUGAAAGACUCUACAAUUAAAUUUAUAGCUAUUAAAUCUUUACAUAUUUGUAAUAGGUAAGAACUCCUAAUAUUUGGUACUUUAAAAUUGACUAAACUUUCGUUCUUAAAUUUUCCUUUAUUUGAACUAUAUUUAAACUUAUUAUUUUUAAAUGUAACUUUAACAAUAGUCACUAAGCUAGAUUUAAUAUAACAUACAUAAGGCCUAAAUCAUGCUGCUCCCCACUCAAUUCACAGUCACAAGGGGCCGGAAGGACUUCUAGUCUAUUAGAAUCCUAUAUCUUUAGUUCAUUUCAUAUAUAACUAGGACGAGGCAAUAUCUGAUAUCACAUAUACAUUUCUUCCAUAACAUAAACCAAGCAUUCAUUAAAGACCUAGAACAUAAUUCAUCAAGAAUGGUAUAAGUUGUUUUUCUUGUUGAGUAGUUCAAAUUGCGGGACUCUGUUGCAAUAAGAAAUUUAAAAUUCAUUUCCUUUCAUUUUCAUAUCUGACAAAGUGGGUAGAGAUUGUGACUUCUGAAAGUUUUUGACCUUGGUGCAAACUAGGAUUCAAAUGUUAUUUUCCGAGAAUGUAGUAAUGUUUUUCGCUAUACUGAUAUUGCCCCAAUAUGGUCUCUUCUUCUCUACCGUUUCACGUUGACUAUGUUAUUGGGUUUUCAACCAUUUAUCAGAAAUUCUUUGUUUCGUGCUUGUCAUUUGAUUCAGGUAUGUGCAUAUGAAAGCAUGCAAGCUGGCCUGUAUAGGCUUAAGCGCCUAGGUAUUACGCGGCUUACUCAUCCUACAGGUCUAUCAGCUGCAAUGAACCAGCUCCCAGAUGAAGCGAUUGCUUUAGCUGCUGCAUCACAUAUUGAAAGGGAACUUCUAAUCACACCUUGGAACUUGAGUAGCAACUUUGUUGCCUGUACAAACCAGGUAGAUCAUACUUGCAUCAUUUAUCUUGUAGUCUAGUCUUCAACAAAAUGUUCGUUUCUUUUUAUAUUGUGUAUUCCAGGAAAGUGUGGUAUGAGAAAACACAACCCAAUAAAAUUCCGAAUUCUGUAAUAUUUCUCAGAAACUAUGUUUGGUCAUUCUUGUUCUUGUAUGGUCACUUCUUUAAUCUUCUUAACCUUUUAUCUGGUCAUCAGAGAUGCAUUGACAUGGCAGCCUUGAUGUCUUUAAAUAGUUCAGAACUUUCUGUUGCCUUGAUAGAGUAUAAGGAACAUUACUUUUAUCAUUAAAAAAGUAUAAUAAGUAUUCCUAUUGUAACAUAUACUGUUUCAUCGAGUUAGUGCUGUUAUAUAUGCAUACACAUUGUUUUCUGUAAUUCAUAGCAUUCUAGCUAGUCCUGAAACUUGAUCUUUCUUGAUACUUCUCUGUAGGACAGAGAAAAUAUUGAGCGUCUGGAAAUUACUGGUGUUGGUGAUCCAUCUGGUCGGGGAUUAGGGUUCAGUUAUGUACGCACCACUCCUAAGGCACCAAUACCAAAUGCAAUCUCCAAGAAAAAAGCAGUUGUUGCCAAAGGGUCAACAGUAACAGGCACUGAUGCAGACCUACGAAGACUGAGCAUGGAAGCUGCACGCGAGGUGAGUAGAUCAGGAUAGUAUUAGGAUUAGAUUUUAAAAACUUCCAGCUUCUUGACUUACUUGGCAUCAAAUGCGGUUAGUUAAAGCUAAAUUGGCUUUUAUAUCAUACAUAUGUUUCCAUUGCCAUAUAUGUGAACUAAUUGUUAUCAAUCUGGACCGACUGGUUCUUCUUUUGUUUUACUAUUCUAUGUGGUAAGUUGCGAGGAAAAUAAAUUCCCCUGAUUUGAUUUUGUAACCUGAAUGAAUAUACCCCUUAUGAAAGCUGAUUCAGAACAAAAUUAAUUCUGUUGGAAAUGUUUUUAUUUAGUUUACAGCCUAGUUGAUGGGUGUGUGAGUAGUUGAUUGCUUGUCCUAUGGCUCUGAUGUGCUCAUGUCCAGAUUGAACCCCAUUUCCCCUUCUCAUUCUUUUAUCUUGUGGCUAGUCGAAUGUGGUUUAUAGAUGAGUAGCCCAAUGGAUUUUAUCCUAUCAAUUCACAAGUAUGUGUUACUCAUUCACAAGUGUAUUUCCCUACAUUUUAGGUUCUUCUCAAGUUUAAUGUUCCAGAGGAGCAGAUUGCUAAACUAACAAGGUGGCACCGAAUUGCUAUGAUUCGCAAGCUUUCUAGCGAGCAAGCUGCAUCCGGUGUGAAAGUUGAUCCAACAACUAUAAGCAAAUAUGCUCGUGGCCAGCGCAUGUCCUUUUUGCAGCUGCAGCAGCAAACAAGAGAAAAAUGUCAGGAAAUCUGGGACCGACAAGUCCAAAAUCUUAGUGCAGUUGAUGGUGAAGAAAAUGAGAGUGACUCUGAAGUGAACAGCGACCUGGACUCAUUUGCUGGUGACUUGGAAAAUCUUCUUGACGCAGAGGACUUCGAGGAUGGUGAGGAGGGUAGUCAUGAGCCCAAACAUGAUAAUGUUGAUGGAGUCAAAGGACUCAAGAUGAGAAGACGCCCCUUUCAGGCUCAGGUGGAAGAGGAGAUCGAGGAUGAGGCAGCUGAAGCUGCAGAAUUAUGCCGCAUGCUCAUGGAUGGUAUAGAACAUGUAUAUAUAUGUGUAUAUAUUUAUUAUAUGUUGUUUCUAGUCCAUCCUUGUUAUCUUGAUGCUAUAAUUUGCAAGAUUGAGAAAAUUUAAGAAUUUGGUGUACCUUCUCUGUUGGUGCCCACUUCAAUGUUACUUUCUAUUUCUCCUGGAAAAUGGAGAUUUAGUUGGAGAAUUUUGGAGAGAAAAAUCAUAUUAGGUGGGUCCUUAUGCUGCUACUGGUUGGGUAGGGGUAAAGAUGGUGGAGUAUGUUGUAUCUUCAUGCCUGUGAGAUGGGAAUUUGUAUUGUCAAGAAUUGGGUUCUUUGUUGAUAUGUAUCAGCAUGGUCAAUGUAAAGAUAUGACACCUGGGCCUAACUCAACCCCAAAAGCUAGCUCAUGAGGGGAGGUUUGUCCAAGUCCAUAUAAGGAGACCAAAUUCUCAUCCCUCUACCGAUAUGAGAUUUCUUAACACUCCGCCGCACGCCCAGACCUCGGUUGGAGCAUGAACACUUAUAAAUGGGGGCCCAACAUCGGUGAACAACAAAUUGGGAUGGGGCCUGGCUCUGAUACCAUGUAAAGAUAUGACACCUGGGUCUAAACUCAACCCCAAAAGCUAGCUCAUGAGGGGAGGUUUGUCCAAGUUCAUAUAAGGAGACCAAAUUCCCAUCCCUUUACCGAUGUGGGACUUCUUAACAGUCAAUACUAAAAUCCUUUUUCACGUGAAGUUCACAAAUGAAGCAUCAAUGUUACUCCUGGCCUAGAGUUGAGUACUGUUUAAAAUUUUAUAGAAGUCUUGACAAGUUGUUAAGUUGCAUCUUAUCCUUGAAACUCUCACCAACUCAGAAUUAGAUUUGGUUAAGAAGAUUGUAGGAAAUAUGACCAAAUAGAGGUUGAUAUAUAAAUUGAUCCAAAGUGCACAUAAGAAAGCUGCCUACUCCCUUUUAUAGGUACAAGACAAGAAGUUUCCUUUAAGGUGGAUUGUAACCCUCUUCUUCAAUAGAAUAAUCUUACACAUAACAUCUUUCUUCAUGGUAGAAACCAUUUUAUGUGUUGCCUGCCAGCAAGUGCAGCCUAUUUUAAAAUAUGUUUCUUAUUUGGUAUUGUUUGUAUUUAACUACUAUCUUGCAGAUGAUGAAGCUGAUCGGAAGAAGAAAAAAAAGGACAAAGCCAUGGGAGAACAAGUUGGUUUCGUGCCAGAUAUAAGAUACAGGUUUAGUACUGAAAGCACUGAUCGGGGUAAAAAACCUCAGAUAUUUGCCAAGCCAAGCAUAAAGUGUGAUGGGCUAAAUGGGUUGGAUUUCAUUGGAGAUCAGAAGGAGGUUGUUUCCCUUUCUUCCUCAGUAAUUCUAUUGUGCCCCACUAAUAAAAAUAGGACAUUGUAGGCAUGUAAUUUAUAUGCCAACCAGGUGACACAAUUCUCUGAUUUUCUUUUUAGCUGCAGGCUGAAGGGUUUACUGCUAAAAGAACCCCAUCUAGCAAGGUGAAACCCAAGAAAAAGUUUGAUGUUCUGGACUCUGGAUUGUUUAAUAAGAAAGUUAAAAUACUAGGGGAGGGAAUAAAGGUAAAUGUCCCUACAUAGUUAUCUACAGCAUUUAGCUGCAUAUUUUGAAUUAGAAUAUAUCCUUUCCCAGUGUUUCUUGGUUCUUGUAAUAUGCGUGACUGAUGUGAUACUCCUCCUUGGACACAGCCCAUGAAAGAGAAGAAGUCAGCAAGAGACAGUUUUGUCUGUGGAGCCUGUGGUCAGGUUUGUGGUUAUAUUUGAAUAAUCAUCUUAUUCUUUCCAAAAAAGUUAUGAAGGCUAAUCAAUUGACUGGUCUUAUCAUACAGCUUGGUCACAUGAGAACUAAUAAGAAUUGUCCCAAGUAUGGGGAAGAUGUGGAGGCACGAGCAGAAAGCAUUGAUCUGGAAAAGACUACAGGAAAAUCUAUGGGUUCUACUGAUCUCUUGGAUCAGCCCCAGAUCUUCUCAAAGAAAGCCAUCCAAAAAAGUGGAACGAAGAAUGUGAUGGUCGAAGUUCAUGAGGAUGAUAAUUCCAGUUCAAAGGCCAAAGUUCUGAAGGUCAAAUGUGGUUCAACAGACAAACUUCCUGAUAAACCUACUCCUGCGACCUCACUUAAUUCUGACAUACCAGUGACUUCAGAUGCUGAAAUUGGAACUGUACCACCCCCCAUAAAAUUUAAUAAAAUUAAGUUUUCAAAUAAGAUGAGAGCUGAGGAUGAUUCCAAUGAAGCUCACAAGCCUUCCAUUCUGGUAAGGCCACCAACGGAGACUGCAGACUCACAUCGCAGCAAGAAAAUUGUAAUUAAGCAACUUAAGGACUCCACAAGUGUGGAUGAAGGAUUCUUGGAUGGAAGCAGUGGCAUGGAGUUCAGGAAGACAAAGAAAAUCAACGAAUUGUCGUACUUGGGGCAGCAAGAGAGGGAAUACUUCUAUGAAGAGACUUUAGGAAGGAAAAAAAUGGAUGAUAAACGAUUAUGGGAAGAGGAGGAGAGGAGGAGAAUUGCUGUGAGGCAGAGAGAAGAAAGAGCCCAGAUAUAUGAGCGACAGAAGGCAUUAGAAGAACAGGAGAAACUAGCGGCGAUUGAAAGCUAUCAAGACGCCAUAAGAAGAGAGAGGGAGGAAGAAGAACGUCUAAAGGAAAAAAAGAAGAAAAAGAAGAAGACUGAAAUGAGAGAUGAUUACUUGGAUGAUUUUCUUCCCAGAAGAAACGACAGAAGGAUACCAGAUCGAGACAGAUCGGUGAAGCGGAGACAAACUUUCGAGUCCGGAAGGCAUGCUAAAGAACAUGCACCGCCAACAAAGCGCCGAAGAGGGGGAGAGGUAACUAAAUCUAUUAUGCUUGUUUUUGUCUCAUCUUCUGCAGGUAAUAAUAGUGAUAGUCCAUUACUAUGGCCACAGAUGCCACAGAUCUAGAUCAUCUAAUCCUUAUUGCAUUUUGUGUUGCGUCCAAGUGGUCUAACUGACCUUUCUCUCAUGUUCUUAUUUGCUAAUUUGGUUGCAUGGUGGUGUUCAUAGAAUUUUCCAAUAAGAAAUUAAUAGUACUGGGUAAGAGAAUACUCGUCUAGCUACCAUCAUGGUGGGUGGAUGUUUCUAAAAAAAACUGAGACUCAUGCCUCCUUGUAUGUGAAAUAGAAAGGGAAUAAGAUAAAUGCCUACUUACUCUCAUAGGAAUAUAGAUCGAAUCUACUCUAGUAAGUGUUGUUUGACACAAUCAUUUAGUCAAACAAUAACAUACUGGUCUGAUUUUUCUGAUACGUCUGAUUGUCACAUCUUAAGCAAGAUACAUUCUCUGUAUGCAUAAUUCUGUCAUUAUUGGUCAAUUAGCUGCAGUUAGAAGUAGAACUGCAAGACUUUAGCAAGAAAACCUCUGAUCUUAUUUGGUCUGUUCUUUCUAAGAGUUGCGUACUUCUUUUAUAGUACCAAGGGGCAGUAGUGCCGUAGUCUUUUCAUUUAACUGAGAUGUGGUUGAAUUUGUUUGAAGGUUGGUUUGUCAAAUAUUUUAGAAGAAAUUGUUGAUACACUGAAGAACAAUGUGAACGUAUCAUACCUCUUCUUGAAACCAGUGACCCGAAAGGAAGCUCCAGAUUAUCACAAGUAUGUAAAGCGCCCUAUGGACCUAUCUACCAUCAAAGAGAAAGCCAGGAAACUGGAAUAUAAAAACCGCGGGCAAUUCAGGCAUGAUGUGGCACAGAUCACUAUCAAUGCACAUUUGUACAAUGAUGGGCGCAACCCAGGUAUUCCUCCCCUUGCGGAUCAGCUUCUAGAGAUUUGUGACUACUUGCUGGAAGAGAAUGAGUCCAUCUUAGCUGAAGCUGAAUCUGGUAUUGAGUGAUGAUACUUCAUAUUUGAACCUUGUUUCUGUUUGAUUUUAAGUUCCAUUAUGCAGCUUUCAUUGGUUACUCACAAUCUAGUGUCUAUUGUUCAGCGAUCUAAAGGAUAGAUCUUCUAGAUGUGUCAGUUGCAGCCACCCCAACAAAUGUAUCAGAUAAACAAGACGCGACUGAAGGGAUUGUAUCUUAACUGUAUAAUGAGAUUUAGUAGCUGAUGAUUCUGUGUAUCGACCAUUUUGUUUUACUCCAUGGUCAAGGCAACACGAUGAUGAGGUGUGGAGGAGAGAAUGAUUAGUGUAUCUUAAUUGUUGAGUGGGAGCUCAAUUAUGUGAAAUAUAUGUGCAGUUUGUGCGAAACAUUCUAGUUGUGUAAAUUAUAGCAAUUAUUCGGUUAUUCCUCAUAGUCCUCUGGGUUCUAGGUUGCCCCUUUCAGCUAUGUGAAUAGAAUGAAAUUUCAGCUAAUUAAUAGGAUUUUUUUUCUCAUAGUACAUCUUGCUCUUUCUUGUUGAGGACUUUUCAUCAUGGUGGCAUUUUCAUUAUGUACGCAAACCUUAUCUCUACAUUUGUGGAGGUAGAGAGACUAUUUUAAAAGAUCCUCGGCUCUUGUAUUAUGUACUACUAAUCAUGUAUCAAUGAUAUUUAUCUAG